Molecule: ribosomal RNA, 1063 nt
Filed under: uncultured Bacteroidales bacterium
Lineage: Bacteria; Pseudomonadati; Bacteroidota; Bacteroidia; Bacteroidales
Description: bacterial SSU rRNA
Rfam family: Bacterial small subunit ribosomal RNA
Source: RNAcentral
AACGCUAGCUACAGGCUUAACACAUGCAAGUCGAGGGGCAGCAUGAACAAAGCUUGCUUUGUUUGAUGGCGACCGGCGCACGGGUGCGUAACACGUAUCCAAUCUGCCCGCGGCUCGGGGAUAGCCCAUCGAAAGAUGGAUUAAUACCCGAUGGCGUGGUCACUCCGCAUGGAGUUUCCACUAAAGGUUUUCCGGCCGCGGAUGAGGAUGCGUAUGAUUAGGUAGUAGGCGGGGUAACGGCCCACCUAGCCUUCGAUCAUUAGGGGUUCUGAGAGGAAGGUCCCCCACACUGGAACUGAGACACGGUCCAGACUCCUACGGGAGGCAGCAGUGAGGAAUAUUGGUCAAUGGACGAGAGUCUGAACCAGCCAAGUAGCGUGCAGGACGACGGCCCUCUGGGUUGUAAACUGCUUUUAGUUGGGAAUAAAAAGAGGGACGUGUCCCUAAUUGUAUGUACCAUCAGAAAAAGGACCGGCUAAUUCCGUGCCAGCAGCCGCGGUAAUACGGAAGGUCCAGGCGUUAUCCGGAUUUAUUGGGUUUAAAGGGAGCGUAGGCGGGACGUGUAAGUCAGCUGUGAAAGUUUGCGGCUCAACCGUAAAAUUGCAGUUGAAACUGCCGUUCUUGAGUGUGCACAGGGAUGUUGGAAUUCGUGGUGUAGCGGUGAAAUGCUUAGAUAUCACGAAGAACUCCGAUCGCGAAGGCAGAUGUCCGGAGCACAACUGACGCUGAGGCUCGAAAGUGUGGGUAUCAAACAGGAUUAGAUACCCUGGUAGUCCACACAGUAAACGAUGAAUACUCGCGGUUGGCGAUAUAUUGUCAGCCGCCACGCGAAACCAUUAAGCAUUCCACCUGGGGAGUACGCCGGCAACGGUGAAACUCAAAGGAAUUGACGGGGGCCCGCACAAGCGGAGGAACAUGUGGUUUAAUUCGAUGAUACGCGAGGAACCUUACCCGGGCUUGAAUUGCAGCUGCAUAAGCAAGAGAUUGCUUUUUCCUUCGGGACUGCUGUGAAGGUGCUGCAUGGUUGUCGUCAGCUCGUGCCGUGAGGUGUCGGCUUAAGUGC